GAUCAUUACUGAGUGUGGGCUCCGCCCCUACCUCCAACCCCAUGUCGAAACGACUCUGUUGCCUCGGGGGCGACCCGGCCUUCGGGCGUCGGGGCCCCCGGUGGACACCUUCAUAACUCUUGCAUCUCUUGCGUCUGAGUGAUACAUAUAAUCAAUCAAAACUUUUAACAACGGAUCUCUUGGUUCUGGCAUCGAUGAAGAACGCAGCGAAAUGCGAUAAGUAAUGUGAAUUGCAGAAUUCAGUGGAUCAUCGAAUCUUUGAACGCACAUUGCGCCCCCUGGCAUUCCGGGGGGCAUGCCUGUUCGAGCGUCAUUACACCACUCAAGCCUGGCUUGGUAUUGAGCGCCGCGGCCUGCCCGCGCGCUCCAAUGUCUCCGGCUGAGCCGUCCGUCUCUAAGCGUUGUGAAUAGCGAUCGCUUGCGAGGCCCGGGCGGCUCGACGCCGUUAAACCCCCCAUUUUCUAUGGUUGACCUCGGAUCAGGUAGGGAUACCCGCUGAACUUAAGCAUAUCAUAGGCCGGAG
Molecule: ribosomal RNA, 523 nt
Filed under: uncultured fungus
Lineage: Eukaryota; Fungi
Description: eukaryotic LSU rRNA
Rfam family: 5.8S ribosomal RNA (bases 160-313)
Source: RNAcentral